This 3002-nucleotide unclassified non-coding RNA is filed under the name Hevea brasiliensis (rubber tree). Lineage: Eukaryota; Viridiplantae; Streptophyta; Magnoliopsida; Malpighiales; Euphorbiaceae. The record is from RNAcentral.
AUUUUUUACACCGAAAUCUAAAGUAAGCCACAUGCGCGCACAAAUUUAACGUGCGCACUUGGAAGCCUCAGGGAGGGAGAGUGUUCUCCAGCUCUCAAUGAUGGUGGACGACGAUGACGUGGGCUUCGGCGAGUUCAAGUUAUCGUCGUUGAAUCCUACAGUCCAUUCUAAUCCCACUGUGAUCGACGGGCGAGAUUCAGCUGUAGCUGCUGCCACCGAUGAUGACGACUGGGGAGAUUUUGAUAACUCCGGUGGGCUAGCCCACACCCUGUCGCUCCCCCAAAUCUCGAAGCCCCUUGACCUGUUCGAUUUCUCUACAGAACAAAAAAUGAAAAACAACGAAUCUGAAUUGAACCAACCUGGUUCAGCUCCUGGUCGGGUUAACUCGGACAUGGCUCAGUGGGAAAAGCCAAAAGGAGCUUUGCCUCUUUCGAUCUUCGGAGACCUAGAGGAACAGGAAGAAGAAUCAGGUGCGGCGAGGGAUCCAUCUUUUGGCAAUGGUGGUGCGCGCUUGUUCUCUAGUAAAAAUGUUGAUUCUGUAAAGAAUGGAUCUGGUGUAAAUGUGAAUGACUUGGUUGCUAAUUUGUACAAACAGAGUGAUCCUAAAAAUGGGUUUACACCAGAUUUGAGCGGGUCGAAUUCUGUAGACGAAACGAAUAAGUACGACACAAAUUCGGAUUUGAAUUUGAGUUUACUGAAUUUAGGUGUAGUCGAACCUAAUCAGAAUGCACAUCCACCGGAUUCGAGUUGGAAUUGGGUAUUUCCGAAUGCGAAUGACUUGAACGCAAAUGGUAAAGAUGAGAUAAAAUUGAAUUCACAUUGGUCAAAUUUGGAUUGGGAUCCAUUGAAUUUGAAUACAAACGUAAUGAAUUCAAACAAAGAUGGGACGAAUUCGGUUUCAAAAGAGGUAAAAUGGGGCUCAAACGGAGGUAAUUCCCUUUUGGUUGCUGACAAUGGGGGAUAUGAUAAUGGUGAUGAUGAUGAUGGGUGGGAAUUCAAGGAUGCAGAACCCAAAACUCCGGUGGGUGAUGAGAUUUCUAAGACGAACCAUUUCAAGAGUAACAACGGGCCAGUACCUAAUCUUAAUGGAUCCAGUUCAAAUUGGAAUGAAUUGAACUUGGAAUUUAAUGGGUGGAACUCUAAUUUUAAUAGUGUUAAUUCAAGUACAAAUUCUAUGAAUCCGGGUCUGGUUGGUGAAAGUAGAGAAGUCGUUGAUGAUGGUGAUGGGGAUGAUGAAGAUGAUGGGUGGGAGUUCAUGGUUGCAGAUUCCAAGCCUCAGGUUGGAGAUGAUAAGGAUGGCCAGAUCAAGACUGAACCUAUGCCAAUCCCGAAUUUUAAUGGGACUGGUUUAAGCUGGGAUGUGUUAAGUUCAGAUUCCAGUGGGUUGAAUCCAAAUGAGGUGAAAUCAGAUGAGAAACAUUUUACCGCGAACUUAAUUGCUGAAAAGAAGGAUUCUGGGAAUGCUGAUGGAUGGGCCUUCGAGGGUACAGAACUAGAAUUGCAGGAUGAUGAGAGAAUGCCAGAAAAUUUUGAGGGAGCUCUAUACACAUUUGGUUUUGGCAAUGGUGUACAUGGUCAAUCAGACUUUGGAUUUGAUUUCAACUCAAGCUAUAAAAAUAAGCAGAAUGAUAUUGAAAACAAGUUGCAUUAUCCCCAAGUUGAUGCAAAAGCUGGUUCUGAUGAACACUCCUGGGCAUUUAAGGAUGCUUUUUCCGAAGCUGAAUCAAAGGAGCCCAAGGUUGCUGAACUUGCUCUUGCUGUGGAACCAUUGGUAUUUGGUGAUGAGGUCCAGGUGGAUGAUUCAUUUCAUAUGCUUAGUAUUUCGAUGGAACUCUAUCCAGUGAAAUUCAGUAAAUUGUCCCUUGCAUUUAAGAGCAAAUCGCAUGCAUAUCAUUCUGCUCUAAAAAAUGCAUCUUAACCAUCUAAAAACAUGAGAAGCUACUAAGUAUUUCCCACUGUCUGUUUUAUUUAUCGAAUGCAAUGUUUCUCCAUUUUUCGAUUGCCUGGUAGUUUUAAUUUCUUUAACUGGACUUCUAUUCUUAUUUACCAACUUAUUAUGUUUGAUUCAAUGCAUGACAAUGACAAAGUGAAGGUCGUUGGUGGAACAUGCUUUCACACAUAAAGUUUUGCUCUUUCACACACAAAGUUUUGCUCUUUCACUGAUGUAUUUCCUUCUUUAUGCUCAGGGGAACAAGGUUAACACAGAAAACCACGAGGGAGCCUUGCCUCUGUCCCUUUUUGGUGAUGAAGAAACAGAAGCAGAUGAUCCCAUGAUCCAUCAAGACAUUUCAACUCAGAAGUCCACGUCUGAUCAAAGGGUUGACAUUAAGGGUCCCCAUUUAAAUAUUUCUAUCAAUGAUCUAAUAUCAAGUUUAUAUAGUCGAGCUGAGCAGAGUACUUCAGUUAAUGAUGAACAAAGUCUCAGAGAAAAGGGAUCGAGUUCCACCAAAAGUGUGAUGACCUCUAAUUUGGCAAAUGCUAAUCAUGAUUUUGAUGAUGAUUCCUGGGAAUUUCAAGAUGCCUCUACAGGAGCCAGAGCUGAAGACCAGACCUCUGUUCAUGGUCUUCAAGAGUGUCAUACAAAAUAUUCUACCAAAAUAGAGCUAAAUGAUUAUGUGGAAUUCUUUUCCAAAUUGAAGGAUGAACUGCACUAUGUUGCACUCUGCCAUCUGGAAAAUCUAAAGGUUAGUUGACUGCCCAACCUCUUCCUCCCUGCUCCACAAUUGAAAGUUGAAUCACUAAUUGAUGCAGCAUAAGAAGGAUAAUCAAAUUAGGAUAUAUUUAGGAAUUAUUUUUAUUGUAGAAUUAGGAAGUUUAAUUUAGAGUUUUAAUAUUUAGGAAUUUUAUUAUUAUUAUUAUGUCUAUAUCUUAUUUAGUAUUCUUAAUUAGAGUUGAAUUAGCAUUUCUAUUCCUAAUUUGCUUAGCAUUGUAAACUCUAUAGAUAAAGUUUUUCUAUUAUUAGGUAGAUUUGCUAUGAUAAUUUUAUGAGAUCAAUAAUAUUU